RNAcentral lists this ribosomal RNA (429 nucleotides) under Chloroflexota bacterium. RNAcentral describes it as "Chloroflexi bacterium partial 16S ribosomal RNA". It matches the Rfam family "Bacterial small subunit ribosomal RNA", at positions 355 to 776 of the family's 1533-position model. The record is from RNAcentral. Lineage: Bacteria; Bacillati; Chloroflexota.
UGGGGAAUAUUGCACAAUGGGCGCAAGCCUGAUGCAGCCAUGCCGCGUGUAUGAAGAAGGCCUUCGGGUUGUAAAGUACUUUCAGUCGGGAGGAAGGUGGUAAGGUUAAUAACCUUAUCAAUUGACGUUACCGACAGAAGAAGCACCGGCUAACUCCGUGCCAGCAGCCGCGGUAAUACGGAGGGUGCAAGCGUUAAUCGGAAUUACUGGGCGUAAAGCGCACGCAGGCGGUUGAUUGAGUCAGAUGUAAAAUCCCCGGGCUUAACCCGGGAAUUGCAUCUGAUACUGGUCAGGUAGAGUCUUGUAGAGGGGGGUAGUAUUCCAUGUGUAGCGGUGAAAUGCGUAGAGAUGUGGAGGAACACCAGUGGCGAAGGCGGCUCUCUGGUCUGUAACUGACGCUGAGGCUCGAAAGCGUGGGGAGCAAACAGG